Ornithorhynchus anatinus (platypus) is the source of this 138-nucleotide small nucleolar RNA. NCBI's taxonomy places the organism in Eukaryota, Metazoa, Chordata, Mammalia, Monotremata, Ornithorhynchidae. The record is from RefSeq and is a predicted model, not a curated record.
CCCUUCUCAGGAUCGCACCUGGAGAGUUUCCAGUACUCUGCCAGUCUCCACUACAGGAGGGAGAGGCAAAAAGAGGCAUAUCCAUUCCAUUCCUAGCUUGGGCAGUGGCUAGCGAGUGGAAGACAAUCUGCUACAAGU